UACAGAGGGGGCAAGCGUUAUUCGGAAUUAUUGGGCGUAAAGGGCGCGUAGGCGGCUUGGCAAGUGGAAGGUGAAAUCCCUCGGCUUAACCGAGGAACUGCGUCCGAUACUGGCAGGCUUGAAUCCGGGAGAGGGAUGUGGAAUUCCAGGUGUAGCGGUGAAAUGCGUAGAUAUCUGGAGGAACACCGGUGGCGAAGGCGGCAUCCUGGACCGGUAUUGACGCUGAUGCGCGAAAGCCAGGGGAGCAAACGGG
RNAcentral lists this ribosomal RNA (253 nucleotides) under uncultured bacterium. RNAcentral's name for it is "partial 16S ribosomal RNA". It matches the Rfam family "Bacterial small subunit ribosomal RNA", at positions 524 to 776 of the family's 1533-position model. The record is from RNAcentral.